AAGGCUGAAAUUACGCCCUCCACUGAAGCUGGAAUUGCUAGUAAUGGCAGGUCAGCAUACUGCCGUGAAUACGUUCCCGGGCCUUGUACACACCGCCCGUCACACCAUGAGAGUUGGGAAUACCCGAAGCCUGUGAGCUAACUUAUAGAGGCAGCAGUCGAAGGUAGAAUCAAUGAUUGGGGUGAAGUCGUAACAAGGUAUC
RNAcentral lists this ribosomal RNA (202 nucleotides) under uncultured bacterium. Its description in RNAcentral is "partial 16S ribosomal RNA". It matches the Rfam family "Bacterial small subunit ribosomal RNA", at positions 1301 to 1500 of the family's 1533-position model. The record is from RNAcentral.